This 1572-nucleotide ribosomal RNA is filed under the name metagenome. RNAcentral's name for it is "bacterial LSU rRNA". It matches the Rfam family "Bacterial large subunit ribosomal RNA", at positions 1303 to 2925 of the family's 2925-position model. The record is from RNAcentral.
UGAGUAGCGAUAAGACAGGUGAGAAUCCUGUCCGCCGAAAACCCAAGGUUUCUCCGGCUAUGUUCGUCAGACGGAGGUUAGGCGGUCCCUAAGGUGAGGCCAGAAGGCGUAGCCGAUGGACAUCCAGUAGACAUUCUGGACCCGGGUUUAUCAGCCAUGGGAGGACGCUUCUCGAUAUUCCAUCCCGCACUGUUGGUAGUUGCGGGCUAGGCAAAGGUUUGGCUAGUUGAAAGACUAGCGUAAUGACUAAUGCCGGGGAAGGGAACUCUUCGGAGUGAACGAACUGGAAUUGAGGGGGGCCGAGAAAAGCCCCACAGCAUUAAUGAUAAAUUCGACCGUACUGUAAACCGACACAGGUGGUGAGUCGAGGAGACUAAGGCGUUCGAGAGAACUCUCGUUAAGGAACUAGGCAAAUGAGCCCCGUAACUUCGGGAUAAGGGGCGCCAGCGCAAGCUGGCCGCAGCGAAGCAGCCCAGGCGACUGUUUACCAAAAACACAGGUCUCUGCUAACACGAAAGUGGAUGUAUAGGGGCUGACGCCUGCCCAAUGCCAGUAGGUUAACAGGAGAUGUCAGGAGUAAUCCGAAGCAUUGAAUCGAAGCCCUGGUGAAUGGCGGCCGUAACUCUAACGGUCCUAAGGUAGCGAAAUUCUUGUCGGCUAAAUACCGACCCGCAUGAAAGGCGUAACGACUUGGGCACUGUCUCAACGAGAAGCUCGGUGAAAUUGUAGCACCCGUGAAGAUGCGGGUUACGCGCAGUAGGACGGAAAGACCCCGUGGAGCUUUACUACACCCAGUCACUGCGAAUUGGGUGUAGAUGUAGAGAGUAGGUGGGAGCUUAGGCACCAAUGGAACACCACCCUUCUACAUCUGGUUCGCUAACCGUCACCAUUAUCUGGUGACGAGACAAUGACAGGCGGGUAGUUUGACUGGGGCGGUCGCCUCCCAAAAGGUAACGGAGGCGCCUAAAGUGGCACUCAGGCUGGUUGGAAAUCAGCCGUCGAGCGCAUAGGUAUAUAGUGCGAUUGACUGCGAGACAAACAGGUCGAGCAGGGACGAAAGUCGAGCUAAGUGACCCUCUGGUGGUGCGUGGGCACGCCAGGGUUCAUCGAAUAUAAGCUACCCCGGGGAUAACAGGCUGAUCUUGCCCGAGCGCUCACAGCGACGGCAUGGUUUGGCACCUCGAUGUCGGCUCGUCUCAUCCUGGGGCUGUACACGGUCCCAAGGGUUCCGGAGUUCACGGAUUAAAGAGGCACGCGAGCUGGGUUCAGAACGGCGUGAGCCAGUUCGGUCCCUAUCCACUGCGCGCGGAGGAAAUUUGAGAGGACUCGCUCCUAGUACGAGAGGACCGGAGUGAACCGACCUCUGGUGUACCUGUUGUGCCGCCAGGCGCAUACGCAGGGUAGCCACGUCGGGUCGUGAUAAGCGCUGAAAGCAUCUAAGCGCCAAGCACACCUCAAGAUGAGAUUUCCCAUCGAAAGAGUAAGGCCCCCGGAAGACUACCGGGUUGAUAGGUCGCAGGUGUGAGCGCAGUAAUGUGUUAAGCUGAGCGAUACUAAUUGGCCGAGGGCCAA